GUCCACGCCGUAAACGAUGAAUACUAGGUGUUGGGGAGCAUGGCUCUUCGGUGCCGCAGCAAACGCAAUAAGUAUUCCACCUGGGGAGUACGUUCGCAAGAAUGAAACUCAAAGGAAUUGACGGGGACCCGCACAAGCGGUGGAGCAUGUGGUUUAAUUCGAUGCAACGCGAAGAACCUUACCUGGUCUUGACAUCCACGGAAGUUUUCAGAGAUGAGAAUGUGCCUUCGGGAACCGUGAGACAGGUGCUGCAUGGCUGUCGU
This 263-nucleotide ribosomal RNA is filed under the name uncultured bacterium. RNAcentral's name for it is "partial 16S ribosomal RNA". It matches the Rfam family "Bacterial small subunit ribosomal RNA", at positions 793 to 1055 of the family's 1533-position model. The record is from RNAcentral.